This 710-nucleotide ribosomal RNA is filed under the name Copidapha subcontigua. Its description in RNAcentral is "eukaryotic LSU rRNA". It matches the Rfam family "Eukaryotic large subunit ribosomal RNA", at positions 2287 to 2835 of the family's 3401-position model. Lineage: Eukaryota; Metazoa; Arthropoda; Insecta; Diptera; Tabanidae. The record is from RNAcentral. RNAcentral also lists the same sequence under 1 other name.
AUGCCUCGUCAUCUAAUUAGUGACGCGCAUGAAUGGAUUAACGAGAUUCCUACUGUCCCUAUCUACUAUCUAGCGAAACCACAGCCAAGGGAACGGGCUUGGAAUAAUUAGCGGGGAAAGAAGACCCUGUUGAGCUUGACUCUAGUCUGGCAGUGUAAGGAGACAUAAGAGGUGUAGCAUAAGUGGGAGAUAUAUUAGUUUCGGCUAAAUAUAUCAAAAAUGAAAUACCACUACUCUUAUUGUUUCCUUACUUACUUGAUAAAAUGGAACGUGUAUCAUUCACUUAGCCAUUACACGGAUAUAUUUAUAUAUUUUAUGGUAUUUUGUUUUGAUGCGAGCUUCUUGUUUAAAGUACCAAGAGUUUGUUAUAUACACCAAACAAAUAUCAAUUAAAUUUGCUUUCCAUUAAUAAUGGUUUGUUAAAUAUUAAUUGAAUUUGGUAUAACUAUUAUACUCAGGUAUGAUCCAAUUCAAGGACAUUGCCAGGUGGGGAGUUUGACUGGGGCGGUACAUCUCUCAAAUAAUAACGGAGGUGUCCCAAGGCCAGCUCAGUGCGGACAGAAACCACACAUAGAGCAAAAGGGCAAAUGCUGACUUGAUCUCGGUGUUCAGUACAUACAGAGACAGCAAAAGCUCGGCCUAUCGAUCCUUUUGGUUUAAAGAGUUUUUAACAAGAGGUGUCAGAAAAGUUACCACAGGGAUAACUGGCU